GAUGAACGCUGGCGGCGUGCUUAACACAUGCAAGUCGAACGGAAAGGCACAAGCUUGCUUGGGUGCUCGAGUGGCGAACGGGUGAGUAACACGUGGGUGAUCUGCCCUACACUUUGGGAGAAGCCUGGGAAACUGGGUCUAAUACCGGAUAGGAUCAUAGCUUAGUGUCGGUGGUGGAAAGCUUUUCGGUGUGGGAUGAGUUCGCGGCCUAUCGGCUUGUAGGUGGGGUAAUGGCCUACCACGGCGUCGAGGGGUAGCCGGACUGAGAGGGUGUACGGCGACCUUGGGACUGACGGACGGCCGCGGUGCCUACGAGUGGAAGAAGUGGGGAAGACUGCACAAGCGGCGCCAGGCUGAUGAAGAGGGGCUGCGUGGGGGAUGACGGCCUUCGGGUGGUAGAAAACUUUCGCGAAGGACGAAGCGUGUUGUGACGGUACUUGAAGAAGAAGCACCGGCUAACUACGUG
RNAcentral lists this ribosomal RNA (466 nucleotides) under uncultured bacterium. RNAcentral's name for it is "partial 16S ribosomal RNA". It matches the Rfam family "Bacterial small subunit ribosomal RNA", at positions 28 to 507 of the family's 1533-position model. The record is from RNAcentral.